Nothoprocta perdicaria is the source of this 1616-nucleotide long non-coding RNA. RefSeq lists it as uncharacterized. The transcript has 8 exons. The record is from RefSeq and is a predicted model, not a curated record. Lineage: Eukaryota; Metazoa; Chordata; Aves; Tinamiformes; Tinamidae.
CUUGCAGAUCUGCGUACACACUCCCAGCACUGGGGGAUGUACCGGGUCCCAGAAAUAUGCGCCGGAGGAAGCCAUGGAGAAAAAAAAAAAACAACAGGAACAACCCAUCCACAGAGUGAACAUCCUGAGGAUAAUUUACCCUCUUUUCCUUCUCUUGUUAACUGUAUCAUGGGCUGCUCUUAGCAAAUUUCUCACGCUGAGGUUGUCUCAGUGAGCGGAGUGCGAGGCUGAGGUUUGGUCAAACAGGAGGGAUGUGCUGUUUGCUGUUCAGCUUUUGUUAUGAACUUUGGCUGCUGAAGAGAUCUCGUGGAAGCAGAUUUCCAAGCAAAUCUAAAACAGCAUAGUCUCCUGGUCUGGGUGCUUUCUGCUCCGGGGUAUGGAUCCUGAUCCAUGUUAGCAGAGGAAGCAUCAGAUUGCAAAAAGUUGAGGGGAAAGAAAAAUCUGGCUCGUAGACAUCCUCAUUCAUGGUCAUGUAAAACAGGAGCAAGUCCAGUGAARCUGUUGGAAAUACUGCCUUGUAAAUGCAGGUUUGGUAAGAGGAGCAAGUCGCCCUUUGGAGAAAUCCCAACAGCAGGCUCGUGACACCUAGGAGAUGUGUCCUCAACUGGGGGAGGGAAGGGAAAACAAUCACAGGAGUCCCUCGUUUCUCCACGAGCAGCUGCAGCUGCAAUGUGAUCACCUUGGUGUAGCAGGAAAAAGACCUAAAGCUGUUUGCAUGUUUUCCGCCUCCGCGCUGUCAGCUCUGUCCCGCUGACUGACAAGCGGUGGGAAGGGCUCCUGUGCUUGGAUCUGCGGGUGGCCACUGCCACGUGCUGGUUUGGACUCUUUGGACAAACCUUAACAAAUGCACCUGGAAGAUGCAGUCUUUCCUACCUCAGUGCUAAGUGACUGCAGGACAAAAGGCCAUUCAUCACGCUCUAAACUGCUGCAAAGAGCUCCCGUGUUCCACCAGAGAAGUGGCUGCRUUUGAAUCGAAGCAAGAAAGUUUUUUCCCCGUGAGCUGGGCUGCUCCAGAGAGUAAUGGAGCUUGCUGCUAUUUUAGGAUCCUUCUGGGUGAGACAUAGGGGCAAGAACAUUGUCACGUGCUGAUCACUCUCCAGCAAAUUUGGGCAAGCAGUACAUUCAGCAAAAUAGCUUCCUUCCAGCCUCUCCUGGCUUUUCCUUCACCUCAAGGACAUGCUUUGCUUUGCAAAGUGCCAUCGGAGCUCAAAGGAUCUUGCUAGAGCAGAGGGAGCCAGAUUCUCCUUGCUGCAAACUUUCCAUUUUGGCAAAACCUACAGGCAAGCAGUAGGGCUGCAUCCUGCUGAGCAGGACUUGAAGACUUUGGGCUUCAUGCCCCAGAGGACUCUGCUUCCCUCCUCCCUGGAUCUCCCAAUAGCCAGGAAAGAAACAUUUGCACCCUUUCCUUCCCUUCCUAACGGGGAGAGGGGUCGCACCUAUCUAGUGGAGCCCAGAAUUCAGGAAAAGCAAUCUAGCAACAAAACAACAGAGCGUCACUACCCGAUUUCACUCUUUGCAGCAGCUCUCUGUCUUUCAAAGCAGAGCAAGGCCUCCCUGGUGCCAGUAACUGCAGCCUCAAGGAUCAGAAGAGGCCAUAGGAGGAGAGAGCAGCUACG